Molecule: ribosomal RNA, 384 nt
Filed under: uncultured Katablepharidophyta
Lineage: Eukaryota; Cryptophyceae; Kathablepharidacea
Description: partial small subunit ribosomal RNA
Rfam family: Eukaryotic small subunit ribosomal RNA
Source: RNAcentral
GCUUGUCUCAAAGAUUAAGCCAUGCAUGUCUAAGUGUAAAUAAGUCUAUACUGUGAAACUGCGAAUGGCUCAUUAAAUCAGUUAUCGUUUAUUUGAUGAUCUCUUACUACUUGGAUAACCGUAGUAAUUCUAGAGCUAAUACAUGCACAAAAUCCCGACUUACGAAGGGAUGUAUUUAUUAGAUACAAACCAACAUCGUGGUGAUUCAUAAUAACUUUGCGAAUCGUAUGCCUCACGGCGACGAUGAAUCAUUCAAAUUUCUGCCCUAUCAAUUUGUUGGUAGUAUAUAGGACUACCAAGAUGAUUACGGGUAACGGAGAAUUAGGGUUUGAUUCCGGAGAGGGAGCCUGAGAAACGGCUACCACAUCUAAGGAAGGCAGCAGG